Molecule: long non-coding RNA, 878 nt
Organism: Pomacea canaliculata
Lineage: Eukaryota; Metazoa; Mollusca; Gastropoda; Architaenioglossa; Ampullariidae
Exons: 3
Source: RefSeq, a predicted model, not a curated record
GUGAGCUGGCUGUGCCAAGGCGGUGCAUGUCCGAGUUGUCGUCUAUUCACUCGUUUAUCCGCCGAUGAUGCUCAUCAUCAUCAUGAGGGAAUUAGUCAAGCAUAUUUCCACGUGUAGCAGAAUGCUUAAUACUUUGUGUUCACAUGACUACAGACAGAAAGGUUGAUAUACAACGAAUCUCACAGUUAAACACUUACAUGCGGCCCUUCUUUAGUAAAAAGAUUAUGGAUGGGAAAUUUACUGCUGGGGAAUAGAUUUUCGCCAGUCAUGAUGUAUGCAAUAAGGAUGAUCAAAGGUUAAUGUUUAUUCAUCACCGUGAGUAUGGUGAUAACUCACUACAGUUAAGUAAGCAUUAUAUUUAGCACCAGUUAAAUAGGGUGGACACAAUGGGAAAUCUGUCAGCCUGUCGGGUAGCCUACCUUCCAGACACCUGUAGUCCACCUAUCAUUUAAAAUCAUUGUGUCCAGUAACAUGAUGCACCUAGAAGGUUUUCUCUGUUUGUUGUGACACCAACCUAGACCUCGGUAUCUUCAUCGGUAGCUCCAUGUUUCUAAGUACUUCAUGUUUCGUCGACGGCUCAUGUAAACAAGAAUUCGCUAUUUUUUUGAACACACAGGCGAAGAAUAUUUUUGGAUUACAAGUGUUUAUAUAUGACGUCAAAGUGGUCGUUGGCUAAGACCCUAGUCCAUGCUGGACACACGUGACAUGAAAGGAACCUUUUAGUCUCAACGGGACGAAGAUCAUUACAAGAGAAAAACUGAGUCAAAACGGGACCAAAAGGAUGCCAAGAGGAAAACCUACUCAAAACGGAACCAGAAGGAUGACAGGAGGAGAACCAAGUCAACACGGGACCAGAAGUAUGACAGGAGGAGAACCAA